UCAAACUUGGUCAUUUAGAGGAAGUAAAAGUCGUAACAAGGUUUCCGUAGGUGAACCUGCGGAAGGAUCAUUAACGGGUUUCGAAAGUCGGGGUCCUGCUGCUGGCGCGGAGAAGACGCGCACGUGCACGGGCCCCUCUCGCUCGAUCCGCUCAACCCCUGUGCACCCUUUGCAGAGCGAGUAGGACGUUCCCUCCCUUCGGGCGGUGCGGACCAGCAGUAGCGAGUAGGGCGAGCGUGCCGAGUCACCAGUAGCUCGAAAGCGAGACGGUCUUUCGCUCGGAGGCGGAGGGGAGGUUCGAAAGCUUUGAUCUCAAUCAACCUAUCUCAUGUCUUGUGAAACGUGCCGCCCCUCGCGGGCGAAGCGAAUACAACUUUCAACAACGGAUCUCUUGGCUCUCGCAUCGAUGAAGAACGCAGC
RNAcentral lists this unclassified non-coding RNA (420 nucleotides) under uncultured fungus. RNAcentral's name for it is "partial contains small subunit ribosomal RNA, internal transcribed spacer 1, and 5.8S ribosomal RNA". The stretch from base 1 to 73 matches the Rfam family "Eukaryotic small subunit ribosomal RNA", at positions 1759 to 1831 of the family's 1831-position model. The record is from RNAcentral. Lineage: Eukaryota; Fungi.